GCCAACUGAUCCUACCCCUUUUUCUAUACUCAACCAUUGAUCAUUUUUAUGCUUCUCCUCUCUCAUUUAAGCCUCAAAACCGAAGAAAAAGAAAGUAGACCGUGAACUAGAAGCUACAAGAGUGAGUCUAGUUCGCCGGAGGUUAGAGAGAAGGAGAGUACUCUGGUGGUUCUCUUACAUGACCACCACAUCAGAUAUGGAAGAAAGAUCUUAAUGCAAUGGCUAUUCAUUGUUCUAGAAUGCCUUAAACUCGUUUAAUGUCAAGGAUUUGGAUCUUGAGGUGUUUGUAUGAGGUUUUCCAUAGACUGCUUUCUACUAUACAAUCUCGCUUGUUUCCUACCAUCUCGGCACUUGAGGUCACAGUGAAGACACCACCGAGACAAGUAACAACGUGAGUGAAAUUUGACAGCUUAUAUGAUCUAAAGCCCCAGGUAUUAAUGUUUUCAAGAUCUUUAGCUAAUCUGUGGACUUGUUCUCAAGUUGGUCUCUGAGAAAUUACAUACAAUAUAUGGGAAAGAGAAGAUGUAGAGAGUGAAUCGGGGGAAGGGGGACGCUGAUAUAGAGAGGUCGGAAAUAUUGAGAGUAACGGAGAUGUUUGCCUAUAAAUUAUAAUAUACUUGUUUUAUAAAUAUUGGAGAUGAAAGCUACACCGGAGAAGAAGGAUCCGCCGGUGAGGAAGGCACUGUCGGGGACGAUGGAAUCACGGGUGAAGAGGACAACUACCGGAGCUAAAAAUGGUUGUGAGAGGUACUUCCGGUAGCGGAGGGAAGAGCUCGGGGUGAUCGCAUGGCACACACCAUAGUUUGGACAGCCUGGGAAUGUUUACUCUGAUAACGAAUAUGUAUUUUGGAAACUAAUACUUUGUUUAUGUUUUGAGAUGAUGAAUUUGCAUAACGUAAUGUUUUAAUUAAAAGAAA
Molecule: long non-coding RNA, 917 nt
Organism: Lactuca sativa (garden lettuce)
Lineage: Eukaryota; Viridiplantae; Streptophyta; Magnoliopsida; Asterales; Asteraceae
Source: RefSeq, a predicted model, not a curated record